GCUGGGGUAGCUAAGCCUGGUUUAAAGCGAUAGCCUCGAGAGCUAUUGGCGUUUGUCGCCGCAGGAGUUCAAAUCUCCUCCCCAGCG
RNAcentral lists this transfer RNA (87 nucleotides) under Thermoplasmatota archaeon. RNAcentral's name for it is "Candidatus Thermoplasmatota archaeon tRNA-Ser". It matches the Rfam family "tRNA". Rfam says of the family: Transfer RNA (tRNA) molecules are approximately 80 nucleotides in length. Their secondary structure includes four short double-helical elements and three loops (D, anti-codon, and T loops). Lineage: Archaea; Methanobacteriati; Thermoplasmatota. The record is from RNAcentral.